This 166-nucleotide unclassified non-coding RNA is filed under the name uncultured Penicillium. Its description in RNAcentral is "sequence contains ITS2". Lineage: Eukaryota; Fungi; Ascomycota; Eurotiomycetes; Eurotiales; Aspergillaceae. The record is from RNAcentral.
CUGCCCUCAAGCACGGCUUGUGUGUUGGGCCCCCGCCCCCCGGCUCCCGGGGGGCGGGCCCGAAAGGCAGCGGCGGCACCGCGUCCGGUCCUCGAGCGUAUGGGGCUUCGUCACCCGCUCCGUAGGCCCGGCCGGCGCCCGCCGGCGACCCCCCUCAAUCUUUCCA